This 114-nucleotide ribosomal RNA is filed under the name Erinaceus europaeus (western European hedgehog). Lineage: Eukaryota; Metazoa; Chordata; Mammalia; Eulipotyphla; Erinaceidae. The record is from RNAcentral.
GUCUACGGCCAUACCACCCUGAACAUGCCCAAUCUCAUCUGAUCUCGGAAUGUAAAUUGGUCCAGCCUCUGUGGAGAGCAGUCUGGAAAACUCUCACAAGGCUAGACAUGGACC